Molecule: ribosomal RNA, 492 nt
Filed under: uncultured bacterium
Lineage: Bacteria
Description: partial 16S ribosomal RNA
Rfam family: Bacterial small subunit ribosomal RNA
Source: RNAcentral
AGUGAACGCUGGCGGUGGGCCUAACACAUGCAAGUCGAACGGCAGCACAGUAAGAGCUUGCUCUUACGGGUGGCGAGUGGCGGACGGGUGAGGAAUACAUCGGAAUCUACUUUUUCGUGGGGGAUAACGUAGGGAAACUUACGCUAAUACCGCAUACGACCUACGGGUGAAAGCAGGGGAUCUUCGGACCUUGCGCGAUUGAAUGAGCCGAUGUCGGAUUAGCUAGUUGGCGGGGUAAAGGCCCACCAAGGCGACGAUCCGUAGCUGGUCUGAGAGGAUGAUCAGACACACUGGAACUGAGACACGGUCCAGACUCCUACGGGAGGCAGCAGUGGGGAAUAUUGGACAAUGGGCGCAAGCCUGAUCCAGCCAUACCGCGUGGGUGAAGAAGGCCUUCGGGUUGUAAAGCCCUUUUGUUGGGAAAGAAAAGCAGCAGGUUAAUACCCCGCUGUUCUGACGGUACCCAAAGAAUAAGCACCGGCUAACUUCGUG